GAGGGAGAAAGGAAGAGGAAGAGGGAGAGGGAGAGGAAGAGGAAGAGGGAGAGGGAGAGGGAGAGAAGUGCAGACAAGGGUGUACCACAGCACACAUGGAAGCCAGAGGAUUUACAGUUAUUUUUCUCCUACCAUUUGUGUUCUGGGAAUCAAACUCUGGUCCUCAAACUUGUAUGGCACAUGCUUUUACCCAAUGAGCUAUCUUAUUGGCCCUAAUGUUCUGUUUAAAGAGGAAAUUUAUUAAAUUAGGGAGUGACUGUGUAAAGAUAUCCAAUUAUCUCUAUAUAAUGAGGAAAAUUCUAGAAUCCAAGUCACAUUGUCAAAGACCUGAUUUUAUUUCAUCCAGAUCAAGAGUUGGCAAACUAUAGCUCCUAAGGCAAGCUCUGUGUUGGGGUUGAUACUGUAUGGUCAGUCAGUGAGUCAAGCAUGUCAUCUAUUUUUUCAAGUGUCAUAAAAUCAUACAAAGUCACAUGCACCGAAAGCCAAGAUCCCCAGAUCCCAAGCCUGAGAUGCUUUUGGUCUUGCCCUUCAUUAGCAAGGUUUGUAAACAAACCUCUUGGAGACUAAUUUCACUCUCACAGUAAGUGCAUUUUUUCUUAAGCACCACAAACAUGUAAAGGAUCAUAAAAAGUUCUGAGGCAAACAUAAAAUAAGGGAUCAUCUGACUCCUUUUCUCUUUUAGGCCUUAGCAUUGCUAUGAUUUACACAAAUCCCUCUAGGACUGGGGCUGACUAGAUAGGUCUUCAGGGAUUUUCAUGAAAACUGAAUUCACCUUGGGACAAUCAAAAUAAUAGGAAUUGGACAAUGAUUAGAAGUUAGAAAAAGGCUAAUUUCACAGUGAUACAGGAAGAGAACUAAAUGCAGUUUGAUUGUUUUUUUAUAGGGUGAGCUCAUUAGUAGGUAAGUGAGCAUUCAAAAAAAAAUCAUAUUAGAGUCACUUCACACCUGUUAUGCACCACGAGUUUGAGUCAUUGCUGGACUAAAACAAAGGGCUUGACAGAAACUUUCCUUAGUUUCAGAGAUAAGGCAGAGUUGUCUGCAUAAACUGGCCUGGUCAUCCACACUGCAUUGAAAUUUCCCCAUUAUAUUCAAGUAACUUCUGUGGAUCCUCAAGAGGCUUACAUUUCUUCCACUUGCCUUUCUUUCAUUUGUCUGGUGUCAUUCAUUCUUGCAUGGCAGCUUAGUGCCAUGGUCACUACUAUCAUUUCUGCAAGUCAGUCAGCCAAGCACCAUUUUCUUCAGUCUCCUGGAGUCCUUCUCUGGCAAACAUGCUCUGCUUGGGCAAUUUUAAAAGCAUGGAGUGAAAUUUCAGGUUAGCCAGAGGAGGCCGUGGCACACCUUGAAAUCUUAGUUAAUACUGUGAUAAUGAAGCUAUUCUAUAAGAAAUCUCCUUUAAAGCUUCCAGCUAUGCAAGAGCUUCACCCUUCUGUGUCUACCUUGGACUCUGGAGUUCUUCUGCCUUAGUCUUUUGACCCACACCAACAUAAGACUCCACUUCCCACUUAGCUACCCUGCCUGCCUUUGAACAUUGAGAAUUUGUCUAACAUUCUGAGAUUUCUCACCCAAAGAACUGUUUACACAUUUUCUUAAGGAAUGGAGCAAACUACCUAGAGAUAACCACUUUUCUAGGAGGCUUGCCUUUAUUUUCCACUCCAGGAAGCAGCAGACUUCCCACUUAAGCCAGGAGGCCUUUUCCUUUGCAUCAUUAGGGAAAUGAUUCAUUCCCUGCCCAUCCCAAGUGUAGGUCCAGGAAAGUACCUUGCCAGGCUUUCCAAUUUGUUUGGAUCCCUACCCUACCCCACCCCAAGAUACAUGCCCAUUCUCCCUGUGGCACAGCCAGGACACUUGAUAACAAAUUUAAAGACACUACGUUUCUAUGUUUUAGCCAACAUAAGAAGAAAAUAUUAUCAUUAGAAAUGUCAAAGCCUCUCCCUAUCAAUAAUAUGUAAAUUUUACCCUGGCUACUAUGAAAAUUUCUUUUAGAGGUGAAUUUGUGUCCUUUUUUCUAUGCCCUCAUAUUUUUUUUUUUAAUUUGCCACAUUACAGGACAUUUAGUCAAAUGAACCGAAGUCAAUGAGAGAAGGAAACACAGGAACUGGAGCCUGGAGCUGGGGAUCACUGGAAGAAAGCUUAGUUCCUCAGGGAGCAUAAACAGUGGAAUCUGUUCCCUCUUUGCUUUUUUUUUUUUUUUCCAGGAUUUUGUCCCUAACUUUAUCUACAACAAUUUUGGCACUCCUUGCUCCGAGUUUUUGGAGACAAAGACCACUCAGGAAAGGAAAGCAGUAAGGGCAACUCAAAUGAACAGGUCCAAGGGGGUGGAGCCAAAGGGAUAAGGGAGAGGUCUAGGCUCUUGCCUGCUUAUCAGCCAGGCAGUACUGCUGAUCAAGAUGAAGAAGUGCAUUUGCAGAGGUUGUGGAGCCUGGUCUAGUCCUUCAAGGGGGAGCACUCCAAUCACUGAAUUACUUGGCAGUUCCAUAACUCUUACUCCUCCUUACCAUGUAGCAGGGAGUAAAGAGUGGAGGCUUUUCCCUUCUGGAAAAAUAUCUGAUAAAAUUAUUUUCCCUUUUCUUUUUCCCUUCUUACAUGCAGCCCCAGGCAGGAUAUUGUUGUGGGAUCAUCAGAUUCAAAGAAUCCAAAGGAAGAAAAGAAAUGUGAGCAGGGGCUGGAGGUAGUGUUGGAGUAAGGGAAAAGAGGCCCUGGGGAGGGAUACCCAGGUAAAAAGGAUUCUUAGUCACCUGAUAGACUUUUAGGUCAGCUGGAGCACGAAAGUGUUGCCUGGUGGUUACUAGCCACAAGUCAGACUCUGGUCACUAAUCUUUCUUGCCCCUGAAAAAGUGGCGCUUGUGGUCGUCUGGUAGGUGUUUACACUAGCUUCUUGUGGGACAGAAGAGACCUAUCUCUUUAGAAUGAGUUUCCAUUCUAUACCAAAUUUCCCAGUAACAACAGCACAGUUGUCUACUGUGGGCAUUUAAAUUACAUAAGUCAUUGGUUUAAUUUAUUCCAGGACAGAAAAUAGUAGUAUUAACAAACAAAAGAAUCCCAACACAAACCCCGGGAAGUUCUUGGAGAAAGUACAGAGCCUUGGUUGGCUUAUAAAGUCUAGAUGGGUUGGGAAUGGCAGCCCCAGCCCUGCCCUUUACCCUAAAGCUGAGACACCGAUAUUUUCACCGAUAUUUCCUCAAGGUUUGCAGAGGUUCGUAUGCUCUUUCCACCCUGCCCCCUUCAGCCCAAGACAAGGUUGACACUGGCGAGCUGAGGAAAUAAGAAAAGACAGCACUCCACCCAGGCUUGGGUCAGUGCUGAGCUAAGGAACCAAAAGAGUAAGUACAGAGCAUCUGAUGAGGACUCCAGGCCAUGGUCACCCACCUGUGCACAGGGUGGCAUCAUUCUGGGCAUUUUAGUCUAAGCAGUUUUACUCCAUCUAAAUGGACAUGUCUGGGGCUGCCAAUCAUGUGAACCCAGAACCUAACUAAACUUCUCCUCAGCCAGCUCUUUUUGGAGUGGACCCAAAGGCGACUGCACAGAAGACUGGAAGCAAAGAGAUCUUGUGGGUAGAUCUAGGUCACUCACUCUACAGAGCCAUGGUGAGUGACCUUUAAGGUAUACAAUGGGGAUUUAGGAGCUCCGAAGGGUUAAAAGCAAAAUGAGUAACUCACAACACUGAAAACCUCUAAGAACACGAGUUGGGAUGAAGAACAACACCCCCCCCCCCCCAAUGCAGUAAAGUUUGCUAUAGACAGAGCGAAUACUAUUUUUUUUGCCAACCUAAGAGGGGAAGCGCUUAAGAAGUAAGAGUAUGCGUGGGCAGCAGGAGGUGUCUUGGCCUGUCCACCAGCUUUAGACUCUGAAAGGAAGCAGAGCAAGAAAAUUCCAAAGAGCAAUGAAUGUGUGUGCAUGGGGAAGACUGGUGAGCAGAAGGACUUGGUGUGUACACCAAACCACCUCCCUACUAGCAUCUGCAUGGUUUCUGCAGGGGCGACUCUAGCUUUCUAAUCUGAAAUUUAAAAUUGUCCUAUUUUUUCUCUGCCUCUUCUUUAUUCCAGACUCCUCCACUAACUUCCCUCAGUCCUCCUUGAAGGUUUCCUGGCCCUUACUGGGAAUGGCUAACCUCACAAAUUCUUUAUGUCCAUGUCCUGGAAACAAUAGGUGUCUGGACCCUUCUCUGGAAGCCCUUGUUUUCUCAAUUAAGGAGAGUUACAGAACUUUUCCUUCCUUCUGUCUGCGUUCUAGCUCCAACUUUGAGCUCUGCACCUUCAGCCACGCAGAGGAGCUGGCAUCACCGAGCACUGAGCACUACCAGAGUAAGCUCACACCUAGUUCCAGCUAAGGAUUCCCAGUUUUUACAGUUAAAAGCAGGAACGCGGCACCACAACAGUUCUAGCCACAUUCCAAGUGCCUCAAAGCAGGAUGUAGCCAGUAGCAUCAUAUUAUACUAUGCAGCCUCUGAUGGUGUGUGCGUUAGCUGGACCUGAUCAUCUCCCAGUUCCAUCGAAAAACCGGGAUUGAAAAGCGUUCAGUUCAUUAGCUUGAAGGUUGUGCUGCUUCCUGCUCUAGAAGGGCUAACGGAAAAUACAGCAAGAGAUAAUUAACCGUGAAGUUCUUCAAUCUGUAUGGGAGGGUGCAGCAAGGAAAGUCAAUGAAGAGUUAAUGGAGUGGCACAGACACACAGUGACAAACUGAAUAUAAACUUUUUGGAAGUCUAGACAAAAGUGUAAGAUGUUGGACUGCAUAGGUUCCAUUUUCUGACGACCAGAGGAUAAAAUUCCUCUCAAACAGGAACUGAUUACACGUGUUAUAAAAUGAAAAUUGAAAAACAAUAUGGAAAACAUCUCACUCUGGCUUUAUUAGACACAGAAGAGUCAUUUAGAUACUGGGUUGUCAUAUUAUUCUUAAAUAAGAGCAGCUGCCCAUACAUAUUGACCUGAUAGUUGUUAAAUCCUUUCCACAAGGCUGAAGAGACAGAGCGUCACACUUCCUCCAAAGCCUGACAUUACAUGAUUGGAGCCCAGAGAAUGAAAACUGGCAUUUAUGUGCUUCAACUCUCAAAUACCAGAUGUUGAAAAAUUCAUCAGGCACAUGUUUAGUAUCUAUAAAAAUAAUGAGAAAGUCUCUAAACAAUACAGAAUUUUUCUGAGCUGUUUGUCCAAAUGAGAGCUACAUACUUUUAAUAUAGGAUAGGUAAAAAUAAACAUAUCAUUGAAAUUUUAAAACCUGGAUUUGUCAUCUUGUGCAGACAGUCUGACAACUUUCAACUUCCAAUGAGAUUUGAAACUCACUGGUCAGGAGGGGCAGCAGCACAAAGAAUAAUGGAUUGGGCUGUGCCUAUAAGUUUAUGAAGGCAAUAUCACUGUUUAUCUCCAUUCUGCAGGAAAGAAAACUGAGGCACAGGGAAAUUAGAUCCUAACUGCUCUGAGUACCAAGUCUUCUCUUCUCCAAGAACAAUACUGGUCCCUGAAAAAUCUGUAAACUGCUCCAACCUACAGGAUAAAACUAUUCCUCAAAUGCAUGUGACCAUUUAGGCAUAUCUUCCAAUUGCUAUUGCCUGCCAUUUUUUCUAAAAGAAAAUUUGUUGGAUGCCAAAAUAAGUAAUGUUUAAAAAAAAAAGAAACUUAAAUAGCAGAAUGAUUCCCCGUAGCUAGCUGAAAGUUGGGUGUGGUGGUUCACAUCU
RNAcentral lists this small RNA (5668 nucleotides) under Rattus norvegicus (Norway rat). RNAcentral's name for it is "uncharacterized LOC102550245". Lineage: Eukaryota; Metazoa; Chordata; Mammalia; Rodentia; Muridae. The record is from RNAcentral.